ACAGGAAGAAAAUAACAGGGAUCUUCAUGGAGAAAUGACUCACAGGAGGGCCUGGACUCUCCAGCAGUUACAGCAGAAGGAAGUUUCUGAGGAAGAAUGGAGGAGCUGAGAGCCCAGGCCGGGAAAGCAGGGUUGUGUGAAACACUAUUUAAUCCUAUGUGCUCCCUGCCCCAGUCUAGCAGCCAGUGAAUGACAACUGACCAAGUAUAAAGGCCAGGACUGUAGAACUGUGAUAGAGGGUUUGUCCAAGGAAAGGGGCUUUUCCCGUUUUUGUUUUCACAGUGGAAAUUGCUAUUUCUCAUCUAAAGUUUUCUGAAUGGCAGCAGGGAGCUUCUGGAGGGUGAGUUACCUGCUCUGCACAGGGAGGCUGAGGCCAAGACUUGUGUGGUGGAUCUGCUGCCACCAAGUGGUGAGGGAGGGAGCCUGGGAGAGUCUCAGUGUUUCUGGGCUUCAGUGUGUCCUGAUCAGUAAGGUAGAGGCUUAUUGUACCUCUCUGAGGUCCCUUUGUGCUCUGUUUUCUCUGAGCUUCUGAGGAACUGAGAUGCUUUUCAAUACUGCCUGGGACCUUCAGCUGAGACCUGACUCUGUGUCCUUUGCAGGAGCCUGAGCUGAGCCUACACGCUGGAAUCCCAGAGCUGCGGGAACAGGUGGAAGAAAGAAAGUCAGCAGGUUUAGGGGAUGAGAAUAAUCCACAAAGGACAAGCCAUUGCUGCAGGGAUCAGACUGACACCCACAUCUAUCGUGCAUCCCCUGUCUACUUCUCCGCAGAUACCUGGAAAUGGAAUGGCCAGAUCAAGAGCUCAGUCACAUUGGAUAUACACAGCAGGAAUGAAGGACCAGUAUUUUCUGGGUCUCUCUCUCAAGUGGAUGAGCUUCAGAGAUUCAUGUAGUCUUUGGCCACCCUGCCUGUCUUCUAUUCCAGGUAAGUACUGGAUAGGAUGGCCCAGCUCAGAUCAGGCACUCUCUCCGUGAGCAGGGGAGGGCGGGACAUCUUCAUGUGCAGUAGCAGAAAGACACUGUCCAAAGAGGGAGAGGCAGUUCUACAAAAGAAAGGUCAGUCUGGGGCAUGGGCAGGCAAACCGAGGAUGUGAAGAAAACAGUGUCUGCUCUGUGAGGGGAGCAUGCAGUAGAGGAUGGAUUCAGAGUGGGAGGAAAAGAGUUUUUGGAAAUAUGGGCCGUGGAUAUUCCUGUGUGAGCUGGAGCCACACGAGACUGUUAGGUACUUACAGGGAGCUUAGGAGAAUCUGCACUCCCCAACCUGGGAGACAGGUGAGGGGACUGUCCUGGUCACCAGACAGAGAUAGGGUCUGGGCCACACAGUUCUGAUGGGAAAAAAAUGACAGGACAUCUUCUCUUUGAGGUAAGAUCCUGAGUUCAGGUCUUGGUAGGGAGGGAGGCUGCCUUGGGCAUUGGCAGCUGCAGAUGGUUGACCGAAUGAGGGCACUGAAAUCUAUGUGCUAUCACCUUGUGUUUCUAGUAAAAGAAUCGCUGUAAUGAAGGGUCCUUAAAAGAGGAGGUGGAUGACCUGACUUGGGCGGGGACUCCAAGAGGAGUGUCUGCCUUGCUGUGCAGUGUGCAGUGUUCGUGCCAAGGGCUUGAGACAGCUUGUGUGACUCACCCCAUUUUGGCUGCUGGACCCAUCUGCACUCCCCCCUCUCUAGGGCUGUCGAGCUGAGACAAAGGCCGCAGGCUGAGUCACUGAGGCAAAAACAGAAUACAAAGCAAAGGUCUGUGGUUUAUGAGGACAUUGUGCUGUCUGCUUUCAUGUCCCCAUCAGUCUCUGUAUAAGCAAUAAACUUGCUGCAAUUGAGAUGCCUAAGAGGGACAAGAGGCCCCUGCCCAUAUUUUCCCUGCACCUAAGCCUUUGAUCUAACUCCUGAUGGAAAAACAGGAUUAACAAGCCACCUUAAGGGCACCAUUGUUUGCUUGCACUGUGUAUCUUUGAAAAACAAACUGCUUUGUAAACUAUUAUCACAAGCUCCCUUAACCUGCUUUGUGAGCGGUUAUCACAAGCCCCUGAUAAGUGUUUUCAUGGAGUUUCUAUUUCCUUUCUGUUUACCCCUUUUCUGCUGAGAUAAAGUAAAUGCAACAAGAAAAAAGGUAUAAAAGCUGUAACCCACAAGAAUAAACUUGCUGCGUUGUGACCAUAAGUUACACAGACCUCCAGACUCCGCUUUACUAUUUUCUUUCACUUCCACGCACUCUCUCCCUCAGGUUGAACGAGACAUCUACACUGGCGGUCUCGGGGACUCCCACAGGUCGGUAGCCCCCCGGCAGAUGUGCCAGACCCCAACAGUGCAGAAACCUGCUGCAUAACCUCCCUGAUUCUCUUGCUCAGUCUCCUGGCCAGACCCUCAGAGUCCCUGCCCUGUGUGCCCUGGAAACUCAGUCAGAUGAGCCAAGGUAUCUCCAGCCCGGACUCAUCCCUGGGCAUUUUUGUGGCUUUGGGUGCCCUGAUCUUCUCCAGGUCUUGUCCUGCAAACAACUGACCUUCAGGGGGAGUCUGGGUAAGGAGGCUACUUGUCACUUAAAUCUAAGGGAUUCCAUAAGGUCCUGACUUGGGUCCUAGUCACUUGCAAACCUAUGCAUCUCCAUCCCAUCCCCCAAAUGAUGAAAGGAAACUUUGUCAGGACUCAUGCCAGACAAAUAGGGUGGGGCCUUUCAUAGAGCCAAGUUCUUAGGCCAUCAAUAAGAGAUGGAAACCACCUGAAGGAAGGUGCCACGGUGGGAAUCUGGGUGGCAGGAAGCAGUCACUGAACUGUCAGGGUGAAUCCUGGCCCUCACACACCCUUUCUCCUCCUGAACUCCUUGUCUCAUUUCUCCUGUCUGCUCUUUCCCCGCCUUUCCCAAGGCUCAAAACACUUGGUAACCUUGGACAGUUUCAAAACUGGAGAGAUUUGGCCACAACAUUUUCAAGCUAGGAAGGUCCCCCAGAACUAUUGUCUAAGUUUUUAUGUUGAUUAGAAGAGAACAAGAGAGUUUCCAUCUGAUCUGGUCCUAAGUCUCCCUGAGUCUGGGCAGGAAGCAGAGCAGAGUCUGGACAGGAAGCAGGAGGAUGCCCAGGGUCCUGGACUUGCCCCUCCUAGCUGCUCAGCUCCUCACCUGUUCACUGUGAGAGAGCUGCCCUGGAAUGGGGAAUCCAUGGUUUCCACAGAGGCUGGGAUCCCAGGCUCAAAUCUAAAUACUGGCUGAUUCAGGAGGCUAAGGGAGGCAAUUCCCUGGAGAGAGGUGUCAGGAUUUGGGACAAAAGCAGCAUCUAGUCGCUGUCCACAGAGACCUCAAGGACAGGAAUCCACUGGUUCCCAAUUGGAGGGGAUCCCAUGAAAAUGAAAUGAAACCCACAAGUUAGUACUAGACCGAAGACAGGAGAGUCGUCCUCGCGGCCCCCGUGGAGAGAUCGAGCUCAAGGACUGCAAGGCUGGCUCUCCCCUAGUAUGGCCAACGAAGAGGAUGACCCAGUCAUACAGGAGAUCCACGUGUACUUGGCCAAGAGUCUGGCAGAAAAGCUGUAUCUGUUUCAGUAUCCCGUGCA
Molecule: long non-coding RNA, 3532 nt
Organism: Callithrix jacchus (white-tufted-ear marmoset)
Lineage: Eukaryota; Metazoa; Chordata; Mammalia; Primates; Cebidae
Source: Ensembl